UGUCAAUUUUGUUACAAUAACACACAUAUAUGUACUUUUAUGUUCCUUAUUAUUGUCCAUAUUUCUUGCGCAUCUGUCUCUCUUCUCCAUUAUUUCGAGAGCAUCGAUAUUCAAUAAUUCUACAAGACGUAUAUGAGUGCGUCCUUUUCAACAAUCGACAAUCAAUUUUGUGUUCUGGACUGAAUCCUGUACUGUCGUAAAACUCAUUCUUUAUCAGCAGAAAAUACGUAAUGUGUCAAACGAGUUUUAGAUGAGCUCUACUUAUGUGACAAACACAAGUACUUCCCAAGUAUUGAUAUGAAGCGAAACGUAAUGCAGUGUAAGUGUGAUUCCAAAGGUGGAUGCGUAUAAAAUACAUUGAGUUGAGUAACAUUAAUUGGACGAGUGCAUAUCAGAAGUUCACAAUCAAUCAUGUCAGUUGAUCGUAACCGCGUGACUGAGCGAAAACCGACAAUCGCUAAAUCCGUUUGUAUUCUUGUGUGAAGUUUUUUCGACUUUUUGCGCGUACAUUGUGCCAAAUGGAAAAUCUGUGCGUGACAGAUCGUUCGAUUUCGCGAAUGCGUACCAUAAAAGAUUAAACGCGAUCUUUGGCUAUGGGCUGAAGUUUCUAAAAUCCUUCCCAAUGCUGGUGUCGCGUAUUUUCGACCGCCUUUUGUGAAUAAGAAUAAUUUAACAAGCUCGAAAUACACUGGCAUACAGUUAAUUGAUAAAAACGCAAUGUCGUAAUGACGAAAUUCAGAUAAGUGUAACAUAUCUUAAAUGGACUGCUCUAAUUAAUUUUAUAAUGUAUCGUUCAUUGCGCGCAAAUAACAAUUGAUUAGAGGAGUUUCUUAUAAUUGGUUUCGAACAACCACCUCAGCAGCAUUUUGCGCGGCAUGAUGACAUCGGUUCGAUAUAUACGAAAGCUACGACUGACCGAGAAAUAUAAAGAAAUACAGUGUGAAAUCGCUAGUAAUAUAAUUUUCUACAUCAGCACACGGAGAUAAAAGAAAUACAAUCGAUAAUAGCAGAAUAAGUACAAUAAUAUUGUAGAUUCUAAAAGCCAUGAAAGAAGAAGAAAGCGACUUAACGAUGAGAAAAGUCAAGCAAACGGUGAGCACCACUCACGGUAAAUUGCACUACAAGCAGGAAAGCGCAAAAAGGUGCGUGAAUAUAUCUAGUUUAGUUGCGGUUUCUCGUCUUAGAGCUUCCCGAGUGUGCGGCUAGCGCAAAACAAAUUAAGAGCAACGAGCGGGCUUGUCCGACGAUGACGGCGACGACGAUGAUGCUCCGCAUGCUCAGUUUUCCUCGUUACACAUGGUUACUGUGAACCGAGAAUAGCCGAAAGUAGAAGCGCAUGAAUGUCGCAAAAACGGGAAAAUAAGAUGGACUCGUGAAAACUCGUGCGCGACUAUGGAGUGUCAGCUUUGAGCUUCUCGUGCGACGAGAAUAACGCACGGGUGGAAUGCCGUGUGCAUGAGCACCGUUUUACGAUAUUCCACGCAAUUUAACGGAGAUGUUGACAAGUAUUGAAGCUCUCGUGGUUAAUGCACUAAUAAAUGGAGCUGAUCCCUAUAAGAUGCAAUAAUGCGGGAUUUCACGGCGGAUUGAACAUCCCACGCAAGCAUAAAUCAAGAAUAUCGAGCGGGUACGACAGAGUUUUUGAUACGCCAAGUAAACGCGAGCGUUCAAGAGCAAACAUUUUCUAUUAACCAUUUCUCGGGACAAAGAGGGUUGACGGCAGUUGGCUCUUCGGGCGAUGUUUUGCUAUUUAAGGACAGCGGCGUAGACGGAAAGCUGCAGGUAGAUUUAAUUAUGUGGCCAAGAGGACAGAGAGAAAGAGUAACACGGAAGAUGAUGCAGCAUCAAAGGAAACGUUGGGACAAAGGGUAACGUGUUAAUAAUCGUUUUAUUAGUCUACACGGCUAGUACGAGAUGCUGUACAAUAAUGGAGUCUGCACAAGAAUCGACGUCGAGAGUAAGAAUUUAGGAGCUGGAGUGUUCGCCGAAAAGCGGGAGAUUGUAAGAAUAUUUAAAAAUAUGAUUCGCUAAUAAUCAAUGCGCUAAUAGUGCGCGUGAAUUGUGUCGAUAUAAUAUAAAACAGAUAUACAGAAGCUAGAUGCUUUUAGGGGAAGAAAAGAUAUAAGGACUCUUCUGAAGGCAAUGAUGGAUGAUUCUUGUGUGUGAUUUCCAUGCUCCUAAUUUUUUCAGAUAAUAAAAUGCGACAGGGAGUUUCAUCAUGGAAUUAUUAUUAUUAUCGAAGAGACAAGUUUAUAUGUAAAGGCGACCUAAGAAUGAUGGUUAUCGUGACUUGAAUAUGAAUCGCCAAUUUAACGUCGCACUGUGGUAGAUACAUCACGAUGGAAUUUUGAUAGCUGCUUGUUAUUCAGUUGAUUUAUUGCGUGAUUUUCAUCGUGCGAGUUUGCAUCUUUAGAUAUGAGAGACAAUUCCCCGAUAAUAAAUGUUUCAUUACACAAGAUAGAAGAAAUCGAAAAAGAGAGGAAAAUAAACAUUUUUAAUGUUGCAGUUAUGUAUUAAAGAAUCUUGGAAUAUUUAAGAGAGUAACAAAAAAAAUGUACAUGCUUUCUUAUUUAUAUUAUUU
Ooceraea biroi (clonal raider ant) is the source of this 2581-nucleotide long non-coding RNA. RefSeq lists it as uncharacterized. The record is from RefSeq and is a predicted model, not a curated record. NCBI's taxonomy places the organism in Eukaryota, Metazoa, Arthropoda, Insecta, Hymenoptera, Formicidae.